This 465-nucleotide ribosomal RNA is filed under the name uncultured bacterium. RNAcentral describes it as "partial 16S ribosomal RNA". It matches the Rfam family "Bacterial small subunit ribosomal RNA", at positions 339 to 795 of the family's 1533-position model. The record is from RNAcentral.
CUACGGGAUGCUCCAGUGGGGAAUAUUGCACAAUGGGCGCAAGCCUGAUGCAGCCAUGCCGCGUGUAUGAAGAAGGCCUUCGGGUUGUAAAGUACUUUCAGCGGGGAGGAAGGGAGUAAAGUUAAUACCUUUGCUCAUUGACGUUACCCGCAGAAGAAGCACCGGCUAACUCCGUGCCAGCAGCCGCGGUAAUACGGAGGGUGCAAGCGUUAAUCGGAAUUAAUGGGCGUAAAGCGCACGCAGGCGGUUUGUUAAGUGCAGAUGUGAAAUCCCCGGGCUCAACCUGGGAACUGCAUCUGAUACUGGCAAGCUUGAGUCUCGUAGAGGGGGGUAGAAUUCCAGGUGUAGCGGUGAAAUGCGUAGAGAUCUGGAGGAAUACCGGUGGCGAAGGCGGCCCCCUGGACGAAGACUGACGCUCAGGUGCGAAAGCGUGGGGAGCAAACAGGAUUAGAUACCCCCGUAGUC